RNAcentral lists this ribosomal RNA (368 nucleotides) under uncultured organism. RNAcentral describes it as "bacterial SSU rRNA". It matches the Rfam family "Bacterial small subunit ribosomal RNA", at positions 526 to 896 of the family's 1533-position model. The record is from RNAcentral.
CGAAGGAUGCAAGCGUUAUCCGGAUUCAUUGGGUUUAAAGGGAGCGUAGGUGGCCUUAUAAGUCAGCGGUGAAAUCUCUGGGCUUAACCCAGAAAUUGCCAUUGAUACUGUAGGGCUUGAGUACAGUUGCUGUGGGCGGAAUAUGACAUGUAGUGGUGAAAUACAUAGAGAUGUCAUAGAACACCGAUUGCGAAGGCAGCUCACAAAACUGUAACUGACACUGAGGCUCGAAAGUGCGGGGAUCAAACAGGAUUAGAUACCCUGGUAGUCCGCACUGUAAACGAUGAUUACUCGCUGCUAGAGGGCAACUUUUAGUGGCUUAGCGAAAGCGAUAAGUAAUCCACCUGGGGAGUACGCCGGCAACGGUG